AGUUAAAAUUUUCAUUCAUUUCUAUUGUUAAAAUCUGGCAUGGAAGAUGGAAUGACUAAACAGUUACACGCGGCAUGCCACGUGCAUAUCAUGUUGAUGUACAAUAACAAGUUUUUAAUAAUAGAAAUGAAUAUAAUUUUUAACA
Non-coding RNA from Gossypium hirsutum (cotton), 145 nucleotides. The record is from Rfam. NCBI's taxonomy places the organism in Eukaryota, Viridiplantae, Streptophyta, Magnoliopsida, Malvales, Malvaceae.